Molecule: ribosomal RNA, 2924 nt
Filed under: Escherichia coli
Lineage: Bacteria; Pseudomonadati; Pseudomonadota; Gammaproteobacteria; Enterobacterales; Enterobacteriaceae
Description: 23S ribosomal RNA
Rfam family: Bacterial large subunit ribosomal RNA
Source: RNAcentral
GGGUUGUGAGGUUAAGCGACUAAGCGUACACGGUGGAUGCCCUGGCAGUCAGAGGCGAUGAAGGACGUGCUAAUCUGCGAUAAGCGUCGGUAAGGUGAUAUGAACCGUUAUAACCGGCGAUUUCCGAAUGGGGAAACCCAGUGUGAUUCGUCACACUAUCAUUAACUGAAUCCAUAGGUUAAUGAGGCGAACCGGGGGAACUGAAACAUCUAAGUACCCCGAGGAAAAGAAAUCAACCGAGAUUCCCCCAGUAGCGGCGAGCGAACGGGGAGCAGCCCAGAGCCUGAAUCAGUGUGUGUGUUAGUGGAAGCGUCUGGAAAGGCGUGCGAUACAGGGUGACAGCCCCGUACACAAAAAUGCACAUACUGUGAGCUCGAUGAGUAGGGCGGGACACGUGGUAUCCUGUCUGAAUAUGGGGGGACCAUCCUCCAAGGCUAAAUACUCCUGACUGACCGAUAGUGAACCAGUACCGUGAGGGAAAGGCGAAAAGAACCCCGGCGAGGGGAGUGAAAAAGAACCUGAAACCGUGUACGUACAAGCAGUGGGAGCACGCUUAGGCGUGUGACUGCGUACCUUUUGUAUAAUGGGUCAGCGACUUAUAUUCUGUAGCAAGGUUAACCGAAUAGGGGAGCCGAAGGAAACCGAGUCUUAACUGGGCGUUAAGUUGCAGGGUAUAGACCCGAAACCCGGUGAUCUAGCCAUGGGCAGGUUGAAGGUUGGGUAACACUAACUGGAGGACCGAACCGACUAAUGUUGAAAAAUUAGCGGAUGACUUGUGGCUGGGGGUGAAAGGCCAAUCAAACCGGGAGAUAGCUGGUUCUCCCCGAAAGCUAUUUAGGUAGCGCCUCGUGAAUUCAUCUCCGGGGGUAGAGCACUGUUUCGGCAAGGGGGUCAUCCCGACUUACCAACCCGAUGCAAACUGCGAAUACCGGAGAAUGUUAUCACGGGAGACACACGGCGGGUGCUAACGUCCGUCGUGAAGAGGGAAACAACCCAGACCGCCAGCUAAGGUCCCAAAGUCAUGGUUAAGUGGGAAACGAUGUGGGAAGGCCCAGACAGCCAGGAUGUUGGCUUAGAAGCAGCCAUCAUUUAAAGAAAGCGUAAUAGCUCACUGGUCGAGUCGGCCUGCGCGGAAGAUGUAACGGGGCUAAACCAUGCACCGAAGCUGCGGCAGCGACACUAUGUGUUGUUGGGUAGGGGAGCGUUCUGUAAGCCUGUGAAGGUGUACUGUGAGGUAUGCUGGAGGUAUCAGAAGUGCGAAUGCUGACAUAAGUAACGAUAAAGCGGGUGAAAAGCCCGCUCGCCGGAAGACCAAGGGUUCCUGUCCAACGUUAAUCGGGGCAGGGUGAGUCGACCCCUAAGGCGAGGCCGAAAGGCGUAGUCGAUGGGAAACAGGUUAAUAUUCCUGUACUUGGUGUUACUGCGAAGGGGGGACGGAGAAGGCUAUGUUGGCCGGGCGACGGUUGUCCCGGUUUAAGCGUGUAGGCUGGUUUUCCAGGCAAAUCCGGAAAAUCAAGGCUGAGGCGUGAUGACGAGGCACUACGGUGCUGAAGCAACAAAUGCCCUGCUUCCAGGAAAAGCCUCUAAGCAUCAGGUAACAUCAAAUCGUACCCCAAACCGACACAGGUGGUCAGGUAGAGAAUACCAAGGCGCUUGAGAGAACUCGGGUGAAGGAACUAGGCAAAAUGGUGCCGUAACUUCGGGAGAAGGCACGCUGAUAUGUAGGUGAAGUCCCUCGCGGAUGGAGCUGAAAUCAGUCGAAGAUACCAGCUGGCUGCAACUGUUUAUUAAAAACACAGCACUGUGCAAACACGAAAGUGGACGUAUACGGUGUGACGCCUGCCCGGUGCCGGAAGGUUAAUUGAUGGGGUCAGCGCAAGCGAAGCUCUUGAUCGAAGCCCCGGUAAACGGCGGCCGUAACUAUAACGGUCCUAAGGUAGCGAAAUUCCUUGUCGGGUAAGUUCCGACCUGCACGAAUGGCGUAAUGAUGGCCGUGCUGUCUCCACCCGAGACUCAGUGAAAUUGAACUCGCUGUGAAGAUGCAGUGUACCCGCGGCAAGACGGAAAGACCCCGUGAACCUUUACUAUAGCUUGACACUGAACAUUGAGCCUUGAUGUGUAGGAUAGGUGGGGAGGCUUUGAAGUGUGGACGCCAGUCUGCAUGGAGCCGACCUUGAAAUACCACCCUUUAAUGUUUGAUGUUCUAACGUUGACCCGUAAUCCGGGUUGCGGACAGUGUCUGGUGGGUAGUUUGACUGGGGCGGUCUCCUCCUAAAGAGUAACGGAGGAGCACGAAGGUUGGCUAAUCCUGGUCGGACAUCAGGAGGUUAGUGCAAUGGCAUAAGCCAGCUUGACUGCGAGCGUGACGGCGCGAGCAGGUGCGAAAGCAGGUCAUAGUGAUCCGGUGGUUCUGAAUGGAAGGGCCAUCGCUCAACGGAUAAAAGGUACUCCGGGGAUAACAGGCUGAUACCGCCCAAGAGUUCAUAUCGACGGCGGUGUUUGGCACCUCGAUGUCGGCUCAUCACAUCCUGGGGCUGAAGUAGGUCCCAAGGGUAUGGCUGUUCGCCAUUUAAAGUGGUACGCGAGCUGGGUUUAGAACGUCGUGAGACAGUUCGGUCCCUAUCUGCCGUGGGCGCUGGAGAACUGAGGGGGGCUGCUCCUAGUACGAGAGGACCGGAGUGGACGCAUCACUGGUGUUCGGGUUGUCAUGCCAAUGGCACUGCCCGGUAGCUAAAUGCGGAAGAGAUAAGUGCUGAAAGCAUCUAAGCACGAAACUUGCCCCGAGAUGAGUUCUCCCUGACUCCUUGAGAGUCCUGAAGGAACGUUGAAGACGACGACGUUGAUAGGCCGGGUGUGUAAGCGCAGCGAUGCGUUGAGCUAACCGGUACUAAUGAACCGUGAGGCUUAACCUUACAACGCCGAAG